GAAAAAGGAAAAACAUGGAUAAGAUGGUGUCAUCCCACCAAACAAGUGAGAGUGUGUCAAUAUAGGUCUAUACUUUCAAUUGUUUGAUGAGGUGAAAUCAUUCUAAUUGCG
RNAcentral lists this microRNA precursor (111 nucleotides) under Dinoponera quadriceps. RNAcentral describes it as "microRNA dqu-mir-3783 precursor". The record is from miRBase by way of RNAcentral. Lineage: Eukaryota; Metazoa; Arthropoda; Insecta; Hymenoptera; Formicidae.